This 495-nucleotide ribosomal RNA is filed under the name uncultured bacterium. Its description in RNAcentral is "partial 16S ribosomal RNA". It matches the Rfam family "Bacterial small subunit ribosomal RNA", at positions 28 to 507 of the family's 1533-position model. The record is from RNAcentral.
GACGAACGCUGGCGGUGUGCCUAAUACAUGCAAGUAGAACGCUGAAGGAGGAGCUUGCUCUUCUGGAUGAGUUGCGAACGGGUGAGUAACGCGUAGGUAACCUGCCUGGUAGCGGGGGAUAACUAUUGGAAACGAUAGCUAAUACCGCAUAAGAGUAGAUGUUGCAUGACAUUUGCUUAAAAGGUGCAAUUGCAUCACUACCAGAUGGACCUGCGUUGUAUUAGCUAGUUGGUGGGGUAACGGCUCACCAAGGCGACGAUACAUAGCCGACCUGAGAGGGUGGUCGGCCAAACUGGGACUGAGACAACGCCCAGACUCCUACGGGAGGCAGCAGUAGGGAAUCUUCGGCAAUGGACGGAAGUCUGACCGAGCAACGCCGGGGGAGUGAAGAAGGGUUUCGGAUCGUAAAGCUCUGUUGUAAGAGAAGAACGAGUGGGAGAGUGGAAAGUUCACACUGUGACGGUAUCUUAACAGAAAGGGACGGCUAACUACGUG